Molecule: long non-coding RNA, 253 nt
Organism: Xiphophorus hellerii (green swordtail)
Lineage: Eukaryota; Metazoa; Chordata; Actinopteri; Cyprinodontiformes; Poeciliidae
Exons: 3
Source: RefSeq, a predicted model, not a curated record
GCUCCACCUGCUGUUCUACUGGUUGGAAGAGAUUGUGGAAAAGCAUCAGCGAGACAAGACAAGACUGGACCAAUCAGGAGAGAGAAGACACAGAGGACUGAGGAGACGCAGAAAAUCCUGCUGGAAAUCCAGAGAAGAUGUUUCCUGAUGCAUCAGGGGGACAGCUGAGGACGGGACACAGCAUAAAGAGACAGAUCAUGUGAAGCAGGUUGGAUCUCCUGAACCUGGAAUCCUCCACCUUCAACACCACCAG